GACGAACGCUGGCGGCGUGGAUUAGGCAUGCAAGUCGAACGGUAGGAUCCUUUCGGGGAUCUGAGAGUGGCGAACGGGUGAGUAACACGUAGGUGAUCUACCCUCAAGACGGGGACAACCCAGGGAAACUUGGGCUAAUACCGGAUGUGAGCUAUCGCGAGAUAGUUUGAAAGGUGGCUUCGGCUGCCGCUUGAGGAUGAGCCUGCGUCCUAUUAGCUAGUUGGUGAGGUAACGGCUCACCGAGGCAGUGAUAGGUAGGCGGCCUUAACGGGUGGUCGCCCACACUGGGAUUGAGAUACGGCCCAGACUCCUACGGGAGGCAGCAGUCGAGAAUAGUCUACAAUGGUCGAAAGACUGAUAGUGCGACGCCGCGUGAACGAAGAAGCCCUUCGGGGUGUAAAGUUCUUUUAUAUGUGAGCAGUGACACCCAUAUUAAUAGUAUGGGUGUAGAGAUAUUAGCAUAUGAAUAAGCAACGGCUAACUCCGUGCCAGC
Molecule: ribosomal RNA, 493 nt
Filed under: uncultured bacterium
Lineage: Bacteria
Description: bacterial SSU rRNA
Rfam family: Bacterial small subunit ribosomal RNA
Source: RNAcentral